UGUUCAACCUGUUCUUCAUAUAUCUUGGAUCUCUCAUCUCAACAUAAUAUAAAAUGUUACAUCUUACGUGGCCAAAAUUACAAAAUAUUCUGAUGUCAGCCCUUGCUUGAAAAUCUGAUGGACAUUUUACAACACUAAUACAACAAGCUUCACAGCACGAAGGAAGAAUCUCAAUGCCAUGGUGACUUGUAUGAUGAAUCUCAGUGAUGGACUCACAAUGUUCAGAUGUAUUUGAUGCCGUCAAAUCAGUCUGCAAGCAGCGUCACAUGGUAAGAAUUUGCUCACAGAAGAUCUUGCUCUUUGUUUUUU
Long non-coding RNA from Humulus lupulus (European hop), 309 nucleotides. RefSeq lists it as uncharacterized. The transcript is spliced from 3 exons. Lineage: Eukaryota; Viridiplantae; Streptophyta; Magnoliopsida; Rosales; Cannabaceae. The record is from RefSeq and is a predicted model, not a curated record.